RNAcentral lists this unclassified non-coding RNA (520 nucleotides) under Hevea brasiliensis (rubber tree). The record is from RNAcentral. Lineage: Eukaryota; Viridiplantae; Streptophyta; Magnoliopsida; Malpighiales; Euphorbiaceae.
ACCUCUUGAUUUGGAGGAAGAAUCACGUUCUUCUCAAGUCAUUAAGCAAGUAAAUGAGACGGAUUCCUCGUCUCUUGGAGACAGCAUGGUAAUAAAGGAGGACGAAACAAUUGUGGAGUUACGUGGAUUUGAAAGUUGCAAUUCUAUUAACUUGGAAAGAGGAGAGAAACGAGCACUAGAGCAUGACGAUGAUUGUAUAGGGAGAACUAAGAAACCUAGAGAAUUGGUUUCAUCUAUGUGUUCUCUGUCAGAUGCUAUUCUGUACCAUUCUAGUUCCAUGGAAGACUGGUCGAAUUCACAGGAACCAGGGACUUCGCAUGGCGAGGGAGUGCUAUUGUCAUUAGAUGAGAAGAAGUUGGUUGACAUUCCUCUGGUUACCAAGAGUGAUGUGGAGUCAGGCACUGACUUUACAGGAAAACAACUUUUUCCAGGCUCCUUGAAAACUUGUGACCUCAAUCUUUUGGAAGCUUCUGUUGUGAAUGAGACUCAAAAUGCUGAUCCUGUUAAUAUCUUCCCAGGG